This 778-nucleotide long non-coding RNA is filed under the name Ananas comosus (pineapple). RNAcentral's name for it is "long non-coding RNA (ACOM_LNC041198)". The record is from RNAcentral. Lineage: Eukaryota; Viridiplantae; Streptophyta; Magnoliopsida; Poales; Bromeliaceae.
AUUAAAGAAAUACUUCUGAAUAAGAGCAAAAGUCAGCAAAUUAAUUCGAACACUUAACGAUGAAUUACUAGUGAAGUUACCCACGCAUUGCGGCGGAAUGAUACUAUCGGAGAGGCAAAUUCCGAUCUUUACAUCACCUUCAUUGCUAGUGAAAAAAAAAAGUAUAAGAAAAUUUUAUUUUACUUAUUUGUUCUUUUAAAAGCAAUCGAGAGGUGGAAGUUAGGAAGAUGAAGCAUUGGAUAAAGAUGAAACUAUAUAAACACAUUAAUUGAGAGGUAGGGGUUCGAAAAAUGAAGCAUUGGGUGGAGAUGGAAUCAUGUAAACACAUUAAUUGAGAGAUGAGGGUUAGAAAGAUGAAGCAUUGAAGAUGAGACUAUAUAAAUAUAUUAAUUGAGAGGUGGAGGUUAGAAAGAUAAAAUAUUGGGUGGAGAUGGGAGUGGAAAGAGGGAAGCCAUCGGUGAAGGAGGAUUUGCCACGUGGCAAAAAUUUAGGAAAAAGAAUGUAUAGGUAUAGAAGAUGAGAUCUAUAUAAAUACAUUAAUUGAGAGGUGGAGGUUACAAAGAUAAAAUAUUGGGUGGAGAUGGUAGUGGAAAGAGGAAAGCCAACAGUAAAGGAGGAUUUGCCACGUGGUAAAAAUUUAGGAGAAAUAAUGUAUACUAGUGUAGUAACUCGCGCUUUGCGGCGGGUAGAUACUAAAAUAAAUUUAAUAUCUAACUAAUGUAUCAAAAAUUUGCUAUUAUUUAAAAAAUCAAAAUAGUCCAAACAUAUUGGCUUCUUG